Molecule: ribosomal RNA, 274 nt
Filed under: uncultured bacterium
Lineage: Bacteria
Description: partial 16S ribosomal RNA
Rfam family: Bacterial small subunit ribosomal RNA
Source: RNAcentral
AUACGGAGGGGGCAAGCGUUGUUCGGAUUUACUGGGCGUAAAGCGCACGUAGGCGGCAAAGUAAGUCAAAGGUGAAAGCCCUCGGCUCAACCGAGGAACUGCCUUUGAAACUGCUUUGCUUGAGUUCGGGAGGGGGGAGCGGAAUACCCAAUGGAGCGGUGAAAUGCGUAGAUAUUGGGUAGAACACCGGUGGCGAAGGCGGCUCCCUGGACCGAUACUGACGCUGAGGUGCGAAAGCGUGGGUAGCAAACAGGAUUAGAAACCCCAGUAGUCC